This 196-nucleotide non-coding RNA is filed under the name Bacillus sp. (in: firmicutes). Lineage: Bacteria; Bacillati; Bacillota; Bacilli; Caryophanales; Bacillaceae. The record is from RNAcentral.
GUGUUUGCCUUUAAGGUAGAUGCCGAUAAUGGCUUAAAAGGGAAUCCGGUGAAAAUCCGGAACUGCCCCCGCAACUGUAAAUGCAGACGAACAGAGCAUACCACUGUAUAAGCAAGCUGAAUAGGCACUUAUAUGGGAAGGGCUCAUAGUAGGAUGAUGCAUCAGUCAGGAGACCUGUCUAUCUUAACUUGUUUCA